AGUCGGGGGUGGACGCGGCUGCGGCGGUGGCGUCGCGACGCGCUCGCACCUGGAGCGCUGCGUGGAGCGAGCGUCGCGGUCGUCGGCGGCGGCAGUCUUGAUCCACCGUCGCUCGAGGCUGUCGGCCUACCCUCGAGCCCGCAACAACCCUCGGCGUCGUCCGCGCGAAAUCAACCCCAAGUGAUCCACUCUCCUUCGAGUGUGUCGAGUCGGCUGCCGGUCUUCCGCUCGCUAAUCGCACGUGGUCGAAAUCGAAAGUUGUUUCUUCGGGUCGGUUCCCUUUCAUUAAGUGCGGUACUUUAGUGCAAGUUCGUCGAAUAUUGCUUCUUUGUACCGCUCAACGGAAUAUUGUUUUUCGGAACUUGUUUGUUUUUUAUCGCUUCCACGGUAGACCUCCUGAAAAGGGAGCUCUCUACGCACCGCGUGCAAUAGAUCGAAAUAUCUCAGCAGUGACAUCAUUAUGAUACUACGAAAAUCGUGAAAAAAUCUUCCACCGGAAGUUGUGUGCCGCGAGUGCGAUAAAAUCCGGAACUGUGCGGAACCAGGAUGAAUCCCUUCGGGCAAUCGGUAAAACAAUGAGUGCCGAAAAAUUGAACAUGAACUGGUGGAUUGAGUGAAGCUCGAAGUCGAAGUAUGAGGUCCGGGGUUUGAGCCUGGCGCGGUGUCGAGGAAGUGGUAGCUCUUGAGUGAGGAGCAAGGAAGGAGUGGGUCAGCGAGUGAGCCAUGGAGACGGUGGCGCGGAUGGCCAGGAAGCUGACCCCCAUCCUCCAGUCGUCGGACGACUCGCACGAGGAUCAAGCCGCCCAAACCCAUAACGACGCCUCCAAGAGGUGUUAUUCCGAAAGGUAAAUCUAACCUAUUUAAAUACUUGGUGUCAUUCCCAUCCAGAGACCAGAGAUCCUCCAAUGGUCUCUUGGCGACAGGUGGAAGCUUUUACUUUCAGGGAAUCAACACUUCCUUAUGGAGAAUUAUAAGGGAGCAACAGUCAUCUUCCCUACUAGGUGAAUGAUGAGCUUCGGUUGACGUCAUGAGCUAAAAUAAUUUCCCAAACUUCGGU
Molecule: long non-coding RNA, 1057 nt
Filed under: Bemisia tabaci
Lineage: Eukaryota; Metazoa; Arthropoda; Insecta; Hemiptera; Aleyrodidae
Description: lncRNA ENSSSA1UGG009308
Source: RNAcentral